RNAcentral lists this ribosomal RNA (325 nucleotides) under uncultured eukaryote. RNAcentral's name for it is "partial 18S ribosomal RNA". It matches the Rfam family "Eukaryotic small subunit ribosomal RNA", at positions 1470 to 1796 of the family's 1831-position model. The record is from RNAcentral.
CCCUUAGAUGUCCUGGGCCGCACGCGCGCUACACUGAUGCAUUCAACGAGUUUUACCUUGUCCGAGAGGCCUGGGCAAUCUUUUAAACCUGCAUCGUGAUAGGGAUAGAUUAUUGCAAUUAUUAAUCUUGAACGAGGAAUUCCUAGUAAACGCAAAUCAUCAAUUUGCAUUGAUUACGUCCCUGCCCUUUGUACACACCGCCCGUCGCACCUACCGAUUGAAUGAUCCGGUGAAAUCUCGGGAUUGUGGCCAGUUCACUUUAUUGGGAGUUGACUGUGAGAACUUGCUUAAACCUUAUCAUUUAGAGGAAGGUGAAGUCGUAACA